RNAcentral lists this transfer RNA (72 nucleotides) under Hirsutella minnesotensis 3608. RNAcentral's name for it is "tRNA-Thr (AGT) (tRNA-Thr-AGT-1-1)". It matches the Rfam family "tRNA". From Rfam's summary of the family: Transfer RNA (tRNA) molecules are approximately 80 nucleotides in length. The record is from RNAcentral. Lineage: Eukaryota; Fungi; Ascomycota; Sordariomycetes; Hypocreales; Ophiocordycipitaceae.
GCCCCGAUGGCUCAGUGGUAAAGCGUAUCACUAGUAAUGAUAAGAUCGUCAGUUCGAUUCUGGCUCGGGGCA